Molecule: ribosomal RNA, 253 nt
Filed under: uncultured bacterium
Lineage: Bacteria
Description: partial 16S ribosomal RNA
Rfam family: Bacterial small subunit ribosomal RNA
Source: RNAcentral
UACGUAGGGUGCAAGCGUUAAUCGGAAUUACUGGGCGUAAAGCGUGCGCAGGCGGCUUUGCAAGACAGAUGUGAAAUCCCCGGGCUUAACCUGGGAACUGCAUUUGUGACUGCAUGGCUGGAGUGCGGCAGAGGGAGAUGGAAUUCCGCGUGUAGCAGUGAAAUGCGUAGAUAUGCGGAGGAACACCGAUGGCGAAGGCAAUCCCCUGGACCUGCACUGACGCUCAUGCACGAAAGCGUGGGGAGCAAACAGG